RNAcentral lists this ribosomal RNA (426 nucleotides) under uncultured bacterium. RNAcentral's name for it is "bacterial SSU rRNA". It matches the Rfam family "Bacterial small subunit ribosomal RNA", at positions 355 to 775 of the family's 1533-position model. The record is from RNAcentral.
UCGAGAAUCUUCGGCAAUGGGCGCAAGCCUGACCGAGCGAUGCCGCGUGCGGGAUGAAGGCCUUCGGGUUGUAAACCGCUGUCAGAGGGGAUGAAAUACGGUGGGGGUCCUCCCCCAUGUUUGACAGAUCCUCAGAGGAAGUGUGGGCUAAGUUCGUGCCAGCAGCCGCGGUAAGACGAACCACACAAACGUUAUUCGGAAUUACUGGGCUUAAAGGGUGCGUAGGCGGCCUGGCAAGUUGGGUGUGAAAUACCUCGGCUUAACCGAGGAAUGGCGCUCAAAACUGCCGGGCUUGAGGGAGAUAGAGGUGAGCGGAACUUAAGGUGGAGCGGUGAAAUGCGUUGAUAUCUUAAGGAACACCCGUGGCGAAAGCGGCUCACUGGAUCUCUUCUGACGCUCAGGCACGAAAGCCAGGGGAGCGAACGG